AUACCCUGGUAGUCACGCCGUAAACGAUGUCGACUUGGAGGUUGUGCCCUUGAGGCGUGGCUUCCGGAGCUAACGCGUUAAGUCGACCGCCUGGGGAGUACGGCCGCAAGGUUAAAACUCAAAUGAAUUGACGGGGGCCCGCACAAGCGGUGGAGCAUGUGGUUUAAUUCGAUGCAACGCGAAGAACCUUACCUGGUCUUGACAUCCACGGAACUUUUCAGAGAUGGGAAUGUGCCUUCGGGAACCGUGAGACAGGUGCUGCAUGGCUGUCGUCAGCUCGUGUUGUGAAAUGUUGGGUUAAGUCCCGCAACGAGCGCAACCCUUAUCCUUUGUUGCCAGCGGUCCGGCCGGGAACUCAAAGGAGACUGCCAGUGAUAAACUGGAGGAAGGUGGGGAUGACGUCAAGUCAUCAUGGCCCUUACGACCAGGGCUACACACGUGCUACAAUGGCGCAUACAAAGAGAAGCGACCUCGCGAGAGCAAGCGGACCUCAUAAAGUGCGUCGUAGUCCGGAUUGGAGUCUGCAACUCGACUCCAUGAAGUCGGAAUCGCUAGUAAUCGUGGAUCAGAAUGCCACGGUGAAUACGUUCCCGGGCCUUGUACACACCGCCCGUCACACCAUGGGAGUGGGUUGCAAAAGAAGUAGGUAGCU
Molecule: ribosomal RNA, 652 nt
Filed under: Escherichia sp.
Lineage: Bacteria; Pseudomonadati; Pseudomonadota; Gammaproteobacteria; Enterobacterales; Enterobacteriaceae
Description: bacterial SSU rRNA
Rfam family: Bacterial small subunit ribosomal RNA
Source: RNAcentral